GAUGCAACGCGAAGAACCUUACCUGGUCUUGACAUAUCUAGAAUCCUGCAGAGAUGCGGGAGUGCCUUCGGGAAUUAGAAUACAGGUGCUGCAUGGCUGUCGUCAGCUCGUGUCGUGAGAUGUUGGGUUAAGUCCCGCAACGAGCGCAACCCUUGUCCUUAGUUACCAGCGGGUUAAGCCGGGAACUCUAAGGAUACUGCCAGUGACAAACUGGAGGAAGGCGGGGACGACGUCAAGUCAUCAUGGCCCUUACGACCAGGGCUACACACGUGCUACAAUGGUAGGUACAGAGGGCAGCUACACAGCGAUGUGAUGCGAAUCUCAAAAAGCCUAUCGUAGUCCAGAUUGGAGUCUGCAACUCGACUCCAUGAAGUAGGAAUCGCUAGUAAUCGCGGAUCAGAAUGCCGCGGUGAAUACGUUCCCGGGCCUUGUACACACCGCCCGUCACACCAUGGGAGUUGAUUGCACCAGAAGUGGAUAGCUUAACCUUCGGGGAGGCGUUCACCACGGUGUGGUUGAUGACUGGGGUGAAGUCGUAACAAGGUA
RNAcentral lists this ribosomal RNA (546 nucleotides) under uncultured bacterium. Its description in RNAcentral is "bacterial SSU rRNA". It matches the Rfam family "Bacterial small subunit ribosomal RNA", at positions 953 to 1498 of the family's 1533-position model. The record is from RNAcentral.